GAGCAAUGAUGAUGAGGUUUUUGUACUAGCUUCUACAACUAUGAAGGUUUCUACACUUGAUCUGAGCUCA
Molecule: small nucleolar RNA, 70 nt
Organism: Suricata suricatta (meerkat)
Lineage: Eukaryota; Metazoa; Chordata; Mammalia; Carnivora; Herpestidae
Source: Ensembl